GGUGAGCAUGGGAGAUAGGGAAAGGACUGGGUAUCGUCUCUUUGUGUGACUUCCAGUUGCCUGCUGUCCUGGUGUCUCUUGCCGUCAUCUGCUCCACCCCUGAAGGUGGGUGAAGUGCCUCUCUUCCGUGUCCCCAGAGCUCCGGGCUCUCUGGACACUAAUUGCCUCUCUGCUUGCUUGGAUCCCCAUUGGACUGGGAGCGCUGUGAGGACACACCGUUGUCCCCCACACUGGGACACUGCCUGGCCCGCGGCAGACCAUGAUUACUCCAGCAACAGCUGGACGCUGGAUCCUCGGCUACGCGUUAUUCUUUGUCUCUCCGAAGAUGUGAGUGCUCAGAAAGUUUAGGACCAGUGGAAGAAUGGGGGAUCCUGAAGGACUUGGGCUGAGAAAAGAGGGGCGCCCCCAAGGAGAUAGAGGGUAUGGAAAAUGCGUUCAGACUAUUGAUUGAGCACUGAAGGCUGCCCUGAGGACGUCUCGCCUCAGACCCUGGGCUUCCUUCUUCCCUGUUCCCAGAGUGACCUUGACAGCUAUGUUGCCCCAGGGCUCAGAGCGCAGUCUGGCUCCACAGGCUCCCCACAGGGUGGCAAAAGUUCAGGAAAGGAAAACAAAACAGAAAACCAAAAAAAUCACUGAGGUAGGAACUAGCAAGUCGUUACUGUACACAUAGCACAAAGGCAGUAUGCAGAUUGGGAGCACUCAGACCAGAGCGGGGAGCCAGCGAGGCUCAGAGGCCUAUUGUUACAAAGCGGCCUCUGUAGUGUGUAGGCAGUGACUGUGGAUUGCGCUCGCCGACUGCUUACAAUAUUAGAAUUUUCUUAAAGAAGGGGAACCUGUGAAUGGUUACCUCAUAAUAAUUCUGGUAACCAUUUAAGUUUUGUUUAUGGUAU
Long non-coding RNA from Pteronotus mesoamericanus, 890 nucleotides. RefSeq lists it as uncharacterized. The transcript has 4 exons. NCBI's taxonomy places the organism in Eukaryota, Metazoa, Chordata, Mammalia, Chiroptera, Mormoopidae. The record is from RefSeq and is a predicted model, not a curated record.